Schistocerca americana (American grasshopper) is the source of this 1342-nucleotide long non-coding RNA. RefSeq lists it as uncharacterized. NCBI's taxonomy places the organism in Eukaryota, Metazoa, Arthropoda, Insecta, Orthoptera, Acrididae. The record is from RefSeq and is a predicted model, not a curated record. The transcript has 3 exons.
CUUCGUUAUAGACCAGAAGAAAUGGUUCGUAUUAUUAACUUAUUCAGAUUAAAGCUUCCCCCGAUUAUUACAUAAUUUCGUGAAUUGUUGCGUUCGGAUGAAAGGAAAUGCCGAAUUCUGUUGCAUUUGCUGCGGCCAUUUAGUGUGCUUCGAGCAUUCACCUAUUCGUACCGCUUUACAGAUUGCUAAAUCGUGUAUUGACAGAAGAACAUAGUAAUAGGCGUGGCGUGUUUCAGUGUACUUUCGUAAAAACAUUUAGCAACAGGGUUUUGGAGUUGUGUAACAAACGAAGUAGGUUCAGUAAGAGCUGCUAGUACGUGUAUUUUUCACUAAGUGCACUAUUCGAUAUCAGAGAAUAGAAGAUUCGUCACCAGUGGUACGUACGUCAGAGAAAACGUAGGCCUAGACAAGACUAUAGUCCUGGACAAUUUGAAAACCAUUUGUCAAAGAAGAAAAAAUAGAUGAGAUGUGUGCUAAGCCAGACACCAUGAAGUGACUGUAAUGGCAGAGAUGAAGGCUGAGAGAGGGAGUUUUGUGAGCGACCUGCGCAUGCUGCUGGGAGCUUAAAAUGGCGCAGACGUGACUCUGGCGCCCAGGGGCUCGGAGCAGUCAGCACACAGUCACAUCUUGGCAGGGAGGAGCCCAGUCUUCGAAGCCAUGUUGUGUUUCUUGCAUGUCACUUCACAACAUGGCUGCGAACACGGGGCUUCUUGCUGGCAUGUCGCAGAUUGAAAUGCAAGAAGCAUGCAGCAGAGGUAACUGACAUAAGAGAUGCUCCCUUACAGCAGUCGUGAAACGGUCCCUAACCAUACCGUAACCUGCAUUAUAGUCCAACAACACUGUGGACUGAACUGUCCAAAAUAACAGCAAGUGUGUUACAUUGGGAUAUGGAAUAUCUUGCGUGGAUUAUUUUGCCUUCUCUUGACCCUGAAUAUUUAUAAAAGAACCAACUCGCGAUAAUAAAAAACUACACAUCUUUAAGUAAUUGCAGCUACAGCUAAAGGAUAAUUUGAAACAUUAUACAAAAAACUAAAUAUCAUAAUGUCAAUCAGAUUCAUUUAGGACUAAUCAUUCUUUUUCAUAUUUCCGUUUGUGAUAUACACUGAAGAGCCAAAGAAAUUGGUACACCUGCUUAAUAUCUUUUAGGGCUCCCGAGAGCAUGCAAAUGCGCUGCAGUGUGACAUGGUGUGGACUACACUAACAUCUGUAGUAAUGCUCGAAGAACUGACACCACGAAUGUUGCAGGGCUGUCCAUAAAUCCAUAAGAGUGUAAGGGGUGGAGAUCUCUUCUGAACAGCACGUUGCAAGGCAUCCCAGAUAAGCUCAGUAAUGUUCAUCUCUG